This 487-nucleotide long non-coding RNA is filed under the name Vigna radiata. RNAcentral's name for it is "long non-coding RNA (VRAD_LNC017390)". Lineage: Eukaryota; Viridiplantae; Streptophyta; Magnoliopsida; Fabales; Fabaceae. The record is from RNAcentral.
ACUGUUUCAGCACUUAAAGAUUUGACUGUUGUUAAUUAAUAAAAUAUUAAUGUUGCACAACUUUCAAUUGCAAUAAAAUAAUAAUAUUUUACAACAAUCCCCCACUUAUUGCAAGAGAAAGUUGAAAGAAAAGAAAAGAAACUUUUUUAUCCUAGGUCUCAUAGGAUGUAAUGCAUCAGAGCUGGUAUAGCAAGCUAUAUGAACCAGUCUUAGAUCAAGAAACUUAACACACAGUGUAGUUGGUGUAGCAAGCUAUAUGAACCAAAGACACUUGACGUGUGUUAGAGGUUUAUCAAUCACAAUACACCCCCACAAUUCUUGCUGUUAUCGCUGUGUUGCGCUAAAUAGGCCAUGCGCGUGCCCGGUAUUCAUGAGUGCUCUAGAGAUCAUGCCAAGAUCUCAUGCAAGCGGCCCCACUUGACACUCAUAUAGGUGAUUUCAUCAAGUGUAUGCUGCAAAUCAUACACCACCCAUAAGGGAUAUGAAA